ACGCUCGACACCUACAGGAGGCAGCAGUGAGGAAUAUUGGUCAAUGGACGCAAGUCUGAACCAGCCAUGCCGCGUGCAGGAUGACGGCUCUAUGAGUUGUAAACUGCUUUUGUACGAGGGUAAACGCAGAUACGUGUAUCUGUCUGAAAGUAUCGUACGAAUAAGGAUCGGCUAACUCCGUGCUAGCAGCCGCGGUAAUCUGAGCGGGCUGGCAAGGC
Molecule: ribosomal RNA, 218 nt
Filed under: uncultured bacterium
Lineage: Bacteria
Description: partial 16S ribosomal RNA
Rfam family: Bacterial small subunit ribosomal RNA
Source: RNAcentral